GAUGGAUUUAGCAGAGGCAUGCAUUGGCUGCUUGACAUUUUCCUGGAAGAGGACACCAACUAGCUAACACAGUCAAUGACAUAUGUCUCUUUGAAUUGAUAAAAUCAUAAUCAAAUGGAUAUAAUACUGAAGUUUCAAAGAUCUGUUUUGAUGUAGCCUGAAGAUUUUGUAAUGAAUGAUCCAGGAUCCAAAAGUUCUUCGCAGGAGUUCAAAGACAGUUGCAAUGUGGUUGCUAAUUUAGUGACAGAUUAAGGUAAUUCAAUUUAGAUAAGGAUAAGGAUUAAUACAGACAUGUAUCCAGUCACCCCCAACCCAAGAAGUUCAAACAAGCAUUGUCAUGGGAAAACAUGAAAAAAUAAGAAGUUGGAGGUGGACAAAAAUCAGGAUGAAUAUACUAGAGAAACUAUUAAAGCACAGAAGAAUGACAACAAUAUAAAUCUAAAUGUAAUCAUUCAAGGAAUUAAAUUCAUUUUUAAUCUCGAAACUGUCUUUUUUCUGUAACUCUAGCUUUAGAUUAACAAGAAGCUGGAAAUACAAAAUGAAUGUUUCCAAAGAUCCACUGAAGUAACUGAGUAAUCAAUUGAAGUGAUUCAAGCAGCAAGAUGAAGUAUAUCAAGAAUGAACUGAAAAAUUAAAAAUAUUCAAGUAAUUUAAUUUUAAGCAAUUUACAUGCGAUAUGUAUGUAAUUCAUGUGAAAAACGUGCGUUGGAUCCACAUACGUAAAACAUAUGGAAUGUAUUACGUAUGUCUAACACACGUGUAACAUACGUUUCACAUAUGUUCAUUAACGUACGUUAAACACACGUGGUACUUAAAUCACGUUAAACGUACGUGAGGUCACAUACGUAUCACACACGUUUAACGUAUGUGAAACAUAUGUGGCACAUUUUGCU
Long non-coding RNA from Magallana angulata, 893 nucleotides. RefSeq lists it as uncharacterized. The transcript has 4 exons. The record is from RefSeq and is a predicted model, not a curated record. Lineage: Eukaryota; Metazoa; Mollusca; Bivalvia; Ostreida; Ostreidae.